GCCGGGCGUGGUGGCGCGCGUCUGUAAUCCCAGCUACUCAGGAGGCUGAGACAGGAGAAUCGCUUGAACCCGGGAGGCAGAGGUAGCAGUGAGCCGAGAUCGUGUCACUGCACUCCUGCCUGGGUGACAGAGCGAGACUCAGUCUCAA
RNAcentral lists this signal recognition particle RNA (148 nucleotides) under Homo sapiens (human). RNAcentral describes it as "Metazoan signal recognition particle RNA". It matches the Rfam family "Metazoan signal recognition particle RNA". Rfam says of the family: The signal recognition particle (SRP) is a universally conserved ribonucleoprotein. It is involved in the co-translational targeting of proteins to membranes. The eukaryotic SRP consists of a 300-nucleotide 7S RNA and six proteins: SRPs 72, 68, 54, 19, 14, and 9. The record is from Rfam by way of RNAcentral. Lineage: Eukaryota; Metazoa; Chordata; Mammalia; Primates; Hominidae.